UUUGACCUCAAAUCAGGUAGGACUACCCGCUGAACUUAAGCAUAUCAAUAAGCGGAGGAAAAGAAACUAACAAGGAUUCCCCUAGUAACUGCGAGUGAAGCGGGAAAAGCUCAAAUUUGAAAUCUGGCAGUCUUUUUUUUCUUCUUUGGCUGUCCGAGUUGUAAUCUAGAGAAGUGCUUACCUGCACUGGACCAUGUAUAAGUCUCCUGGAAUGGAGCCUCACAGAGGGUGAGAAUCCCGUCUUUGACAUGGACUGCCAGUGUGUUGUGGUGCGCUCUCAAAGAGUCGAGUUGUUUGGGAAUGCAGCUCUAAAUGGGUGGUAAACUCCAUCUAAAGCUAAAUAUUGGCGAGAGACCGAUAGCGAACAAGUACCGUGAGGGAAAGAUGAAAAGGACUUUGGAAAGAGAGUUAAACAGUAUGUGAAAUUGUUGAAAGGGAAACGCUUGAAGUCAGUUAUGUCGGCUAGGGAUCAACCUAGCUAUUCUUUGGCUGGGUGAAUUUCCUGGUCUGACAGGCCAACAUCAGUCUUGACUGCCGGAAAAGAGCGGAGGGAAUGUGGCACCUUUGGGUGUGUUAUAGCCCUCUGUCAUAUGCGCCGGUUGGGACUGAGGGAUGCAGCGUGCCGCGAGGCUGGGUUUUGACCACGUUCACGCUUAGGAUGUUGGCUUUUAAUGGCUCCAAUCGACCCGUCUUGAAACACGGACCAAGGAGUCUAACAUGCCUGCGAGUGUUUGGGUGGAAAACCCUUGUGCACAAUGAAAGUGAAAGUUGAGAUCCCUGUCAUGGGGAGCAUCGACGCCCGGACUUGAGCUUUUAGCGAUGGAUCCGCGGUAGAGCAUGCAUGUUGGGACCCGAAAGAUGGUGAACUAUGCCUGAAUAGGGCAAAGCCAGAGGAAACUCUGGUGGAGGCUCGUAGCGAUUCUGACGUGCAAAUCGAUCGUCAAAUUUGGGUAUAGGGGCGAAAGA
This 966-nucleotide ribosomal RNA is filed under the name Amanita sp. 'calisorora'. RNAcentral describes it as "partial 28S ribosomal RNA". It matches the Rfam family "Eukaryotic large subunit ribosomal RNA", at positions 1 to 930 of the family's 3401-position model. Lineage: Eukaryota; Fungi; Basidiomycota; Agaricomycetes; Agaricales; Amanitaceae. The record is from RNAcentral.